AACGAACGCUGGCGGCAGGCUUAACACAUGCAAGUCGAACGCCCCGCAAGGGGAGUGGCAGACGGGUGAGUAACGCGUGGGAAUCUACCGUACCCUACGGAAUAACGCAUGGAAACGUGUGCUAAUACCGUAUACGCCCUUCGGGGGAAAGAUUUAUCGGGGUAUGAUGAGCCCGCGUUGGAUUAGCUAGUUGGUGGGGUAAAGGCCUACCAAGGCGACGAUCCAUAGCUGGUCUGAGAGGAUGAUCAGCCACAUUGGGACUGAGACACGGCCCAAACUCCUACGGGAGGCAGCAGUGGGGAAUAUUGGACAAUGGGCGCAAGCCUGAUCCAGCCAUGCCGCGUGAGUGAUGAAGGUCUUAGGAUUGUAAAGCUCUUUCACCGAUGAAGAUAAUGACGGUAGUCGGAGAAGAAGCCCCGGCUAA
Molecule: ribosomal RNA, 424 nt
Filed under: uncultured bacterium
Lineage: Bacteria
Description: bacterial SSU rRNA
Rfam family: Bacterial small subunit ribosomal RNA
Source: RNAcentral